This is a long non-coding RNA of Bos taurus (domestic cattle), 1000 nucleotides long. Lineage: Eukaryota; Metazoa; Chordata; Mammalia; Artiodactyla; Bovidae. The record is from Ensembl.
GCCACAGCAGCAGCUGGAAGCAGUGAGCCCUGCCCCCAACUCUCCCCACCUCCAGCCUCACACCUGCUUCCCGUUGCUCAAUUACUCUCAGCUGCCAGCAGUCAGAGCUGCACGCUUUGGAGCGGAGCCCUGGAGGGCUUGGGGGCCCUUGGGAGCUUUUGGCGGAGAUUUAUAGCCAAGGGGAGAAUUGAUGUGCCUGCCUGUGGGGGAGGGCUGCAGGCCAAGAAAACUUAACACCAGGGGUGUCUAUGUGGUCUCACCUUAAAGGGCGAGUGAUGAUGCCGUGAGCCCAAGGAGCUGUGAGAACCCCGUGAAGAAAUUCCAGAUUCCAGGAAUCUGCCCUCAGAUGAAUUCACACAUGAGUAAAGAGAUGGAUGGGCAAGCAUCGUCGUGACAGUCCUGGAUUUAACAGCAAAAGAUCAGAAACAAUGCACAUGUCCAUUGAAGCGGGGCUGUCCACACAAUGGAAAACAGUGCAACUGUUCUUUAAAAUAUGGUUUUUGUGGGUUUUUUUGGUAUACUAUUCAGCUUGCAGGAUCUUAGUUUCCUGACCAGGGAUUGAACCCGGGCCCUGGCGGCAGUGAAGGCACCAAGUCCAAUCACACGGGCACGGUGCAUGUGUGCUAGGUUGCUUCAGUCAUAUCUGACUCUUUGUGACCCCAUGGACUGUAGCCCACCAGGCUCCUCUGUCCAUGGGAUUCUCCAGGCAAGAACACUGGAGUGGGUAGCCAUGCCCUCCUCCAGGGGAUCUUCCCGGCCCAGGGAUCGAACCUACACUUAUGUCUCCUGCAUUGGCAGGCGGGUUCUUUACCAUGAGCGUCACCUGGGAAGCACCCUAACCAGUGGACCACCAGAGAAUUCCCAACAGUGCAACUGUUUAGAAAAUGAAUGAGAAAUUUAUGUUCUCAUGUGGAAUUAUCACCAAGCUGUAGGAACUGAAAUAAGCAAAGCACAGGCCAGAGUGUGUAAUAAUGCUCCUCGGGGUGGAAGAGGGGUGAGC